Molecule: ribosomal RNA, 229 nt
Filed under: uncultured bacterium
Lineage: Bacteria
Description: partial 16S ribosomal RNA
Rfam family: Bacterial small subunit ribosomal RNA
Source: RNAcentral
UGGGUGACCUGCCCUCAGCUCUGGGAUAAAGCCUGGGAAACUGGGUCUAAUACCGGAUAUGACCUCUCACUGCAUGGUGGGUGGUGGAAAGUUUUUCGGCUGGGGGUGGGCCCGCGGCCUAUCAGCUUGUUGGUGUGGGUAAUGGCCCACCAAGGCGACGACGGGUAGCCGGCCUGAGAGGGUGACCGGCCACACUGGGACUGAGACACGGCCCAGACUCCUACGGGAG